GGCUAACGCUGGCGGCGUGUCUUAGCCAUGCAAGUCGAGCGGACUUAUGGGGUAACUUAUAAGUCAGCGGCGGACGGCGGAGUAACACGUAGCUAACCUACCCUCUGGACGGGGAUAACCUACCGAAAGGUGGGCUAAUACCCGAUGUAGUCAUCCUGUAUAGGGGUGGUGAAAGGUGGGCUUCUGUUUACAAGCUCAUGCUGGAGGAGGGGGCUGCGGCCUAUCAGGUAGUUGGUAGGGUAAUAGCCUACCAAGCCGAUGACGGGUAGCCGGCCUGAGAGGGUGACCGGCCCGAGGGGCACUGAGAUACGGGUCCCACUCCUACGGGAGGCAGCAGGCUAGAAAUUUGGGCAAUGGGGGAAACCCUGACCCAGUGACGCCGCGUGCAGGAAGGAGCCCUUCGGGGUGUAAACUGCUGUCGUGUAGGGAGAAGGGUACUAAGGUGAACAAUCUUAGUACUUGACGGUACUACAGGAGGAAGCCCAGGCUAACCUCGUG
Molecule: ribosomal RNA, 498 nt
Filed under: uncultured bacterium
Lineage: Bacteria
Description: bacterial SSU rRNA
Rfam family: Bacterial small subunit ribosomal RNA
Source: RNAcentral